GGUCAAGUGACUAAGCGUGCACGGUGGAUGCCUUGGCAGUCAGAGGCGAUGAAGGACGUGGUAACCUGCGAUAAGGUUCGGUGAGUCGGUAAACAGACUUUGACCCGGACAUUUCCGAAUGGGGAAACCCACCCAGUAUAAGCUGGGUAUCUCUUAGUUGAAUACAUAGACUGAGAGAGGCGAACCCGGGGAACUGAAACAUCUAAGUACCCGGAGGAAAAGAAAUCAACCGAGAUUCCCCUAGUAGCGGCGAGCGAACGGGGACCAGCCCUUAAGCUGUUUUAACAUUAGCAGAACACUCUGGAAAGUGUGGCCAUAGUGGGUGAAAGCCCCGUAUGCGAAAGUGUUUUAACAGUGAAAUCGAGUAGGACGGGACACGUGUUAUCCUGUCUGAAUAUGGGGGGACCAUCCUCCAAGGCUAAAUACUCCUGACUGACCGAUAGUGAACCAGUACCGUGAGGGAAAGGCGAAAAGAACCCCUGUGAGGGGAGUGAAAUAGAACCUGAAACCGUGUACGUACAAGCAGUGGGAGCGGUCCUUGAGACCGUGACUGCGUACCUUUUGUAUAAUGGGUCAGCGACUUAAUUUUAGUAGCAAGGUUAACCGUUUAGGGGAGCCGUAGGGAAACCGAGUCUUAAUAGGGCGU
Molecule: ribosomal RNA, 646 nt
Filed under: Amphritea pacifica
Lineage: Bacteria; Pseudomonadati; Pseudomonadota; Gammaproteobacteria; Oceanospirillales; Oceanospirillaceae
Description: Amphritea sp. ZJ14W partial 23S ribosomal RNA
Rfam family: Bacterial large subunit ribosomal RNA
Source: RNAcentral